This 72-nucleotide transfer RNA is filed under the name Camelus bactrianus (Bactrian camel). It matches the Rfam family "tRNA". From Rfam's summary of the family: Transfer RNA (tRNA) molecules are approximately 80 nucleotides in length. RNAcentral also lists the same sequence under 2 other names. The record is from Rfam by way of RNAcentral. Lineage: Eukaryota; Metazoa; Chordata; Mammalia; Artiodactyla; Camelidae.
GAGGGGAUAGCUCAGUGGUAGAGUACAUGCCUAGCAUGCACGAGGUCCUGGGUUCAAGCCCCAAUACCUCCA